GGGGAUGUAACGGUCUCGACGGGGUGAGGCGAUCACGAAGAUGCGUGUCGAGCUACGCUGGUGGAGCUCGUUAAUACAACUGGCGAAAACAAACAUGCAGAUAACUUCGGUUAUCGCAUGGCUGCUUAAUUAAGUAGCUAUGCCAUCGGACGGAAGGGUGCUUGUUACCUUCUUCUCCGGUGACGCUCUCUAACAAGCUGGCGUGCAGCUGAGCAACAGGGCAUAGCGCGAGACAACACUGAGGCUGGCUGAAUGGGACCUAUCGAUCGGUUACCCAAUCGGUGAGAAAACGUAGAUCGAAGACACACGUGGUAAGCUUCGGGUGGUCCACUUCGGACCCGGGUUCGACUCCCGGCAUCUCCACCC
RNAcentral lists this transfer-messenger RNA (366 nucleotides) under Bacteroidota (CFB group bacteria). RNAcentral's name for it is "UBA10438 sp002426145 Standard tmRNA". It matches the Rfam family "transfer-messenger RNA". From Rfam's summary of the family: Bacterial tmRNA, also known as 10Sa RNA or SsrA, is named for its dual tRNA and mRNA-like properties. Its role is to liberate the mRNA from a stalled ribosome. To accomplish this part of the tmRNA is used as a reading frame that ends in a translation stop signal. The record is from RNAcentral. Lineage: Bacteria; Pseudomonadati. RNAcentral also lists the same sequence under 1 other name.